CCUGAAGGGAGCCUACAAGAAAACUGGAGGGGGAGUUUUUACGCAAGCAUAUAGUGACGGGACAAGGGGAAAUGGCUUCAGACUGAAUGAGAUUAGGACCUCUUCAAACCCAAACUAUUCUAUGAUUCUAUGAAGUCCUAAACAAUUUUCUGUUUCAAUGAAUUACUGUAGAAAAGAGAGUGUGUCUUAAAAACAAGGCAACAAAGGGGAAUUCACCUUUGCUAGUCUUGUAAAUAGGGACCAUAGACCAUGACAUGAUAGCUCUCCUUUACUGAGGAAUCCCCAGAUGUGCAGGGCAUUUGUUUUUUAUUUCAGGUUUUCAUGUUUCACAUGAUGAACUUCUCUUCUGGAUCUAACCAUGGACAUGGAGUAUACAUCCAUUCACACUGGAUUCCUUGGAGGUAGGAAGAGCAAGCACGAUUUCCUGAAUUUCAGGAAACUUGGGUUGACCAAGGCAAUUUUGUAUAACUGUUGCAUCUGUUUAAUGACUAACUGUGGCUAUAGGGCAGCCUUAUGGAUCUUUUCAGUCCCAUCUUCUUAUCCGCAAUGAAAAAUUCAGAAUUUAUAUUUUACUGUGAAAUUAAAAUAUGUUUGCAGGCAAUACAGCUGAUACGUCAUACAAAUACAUUCAGAAUAACUGACAUUAUUCACAAAGCAAAUGAAUAUAAUCUGGAGUGUCAUCUGUAAAUAUGGUACUGGUUUGUAAUGUUUGUAAUUACUGCUUCUUUUCACUGAAGAGCUGAUUUAUGUAGGUCAGCACAAUAUAGGAAAAAAUUGUAGAUACAAAAGUUACAGUCAACUGAAUCUUGUUUUUAGAAGUACGAAUGAAUUCAAGCUGAAAAAUAUUUUUGCAAAUAUUCCUUAUUACAGAACUAUUGCAUUGUUUUCGGGAAGCAAACAGAAAAUGUCAUACCUCGAGUAAACCUAAGGGCAAUGUGUUAUUUCCCAAUCUGUAAAAAUAUGUAUGGUUUGAGAUGUCUUUUUGUUUCACACUGAAAAUAAAACAAAACUCUUUGGAACACUUUUAUGUAAUAAAAUUGCAUACAUCUC
Long non-coding RNA from Vidua chalybeata, 1050 nucleotides. RefSeq lists it as uncharacterized. NCBI's taxonomy places the organism in Eukaryota, Metazoa, Chordata, Aves, Passeriformes, Viduidae. The transcript has 2 exons. The record is from RefSeq and is a predicted model, not a curated record.